GACGAACGCUGGCGGCGUGCUUAACACAUGCAAGUCGAACGGAAAGGCCCUGCUUUCGUGGGGUGCUCGAGUGGCGAACGGGUGAGUAACACGUGAGUAACCUGCCCUUGACUUUGGGAUAACUUCAGGAAACUGGGGCUAAUACCGGAUAGGAGCUCCUGCUGCAUGGUGGGGGUUGGAAAGUUUCGGCGGUUGGGGAUGGACUCGCGGCUUAUCAGCUUGUUGGUGGGGUAGUGGCUUACCAAGGCUUUGACGGGUAGCCGGCCUGAGAGGGUGACCGGCCACAUUGGGACUGAGAUACGGCCCAGACUCCUACGGGAGGCAGCAGUGGGGAAUAUUGCACAAUGGGCGGAAGCCUGAUGCAGCAACGCCGCGUGCGGGAUGACGGCCUUCGGGCUGUAAACCGCUUUCGCCUGUGACGAAGCGUGAGUGACGGUAAUGGGUAAAGAAGCACCGGCUAACUACGUG
RNAcentral lists this ribosomal RNA (468 nucleotides) under uncultured bacterium. RNAcentral's name for it is "partial 16S ribosomal RNA". It matches the Rfam family "Bacterial small subunit ribosomal RNA", at positions 28 to 507 of the family's 1533-position model. The record is from RNAcentral.